Molecule: ribosomal RNA, 21 nt
Filed under: Tetratrichomonas buttreyi
Lineage: Eukaryota; Parabasalia; Trichomonadida; Trichomonadidae
Also listed under: 6 other names
Description: partial 28S ribosomal RNA
Source: RNAcentral
GUACGUAGUCUGCGACAUACA